GAUUUUGUUUAUUGCGUAUUAUUUUGGUUUGUUUAUACGCAGGCCCUGCGGGAGUUUGGUUAGUUUUGGAUGCCAACAAUACCCUUCAAUUCAGGCGCAGUGGGAAUUUUUUUGCUGGUGAUUCGCAGUUGUGUCAGUUAAGUUUAAUGGUUAAAUAAUUUGUUUUUUAUUGCGCAUUUGGUUUUAGUGUUAGCGGUUUCUGGAUCGCAUUUGUGUCAGAUUAGUCCCUCGCAGCCGUCUCAAUCGUAGCUUCAUCUUUCUCCGCAGUCCGGUCGUCUGGAGUCACAGGAAGAGAUCCGUCC
Molecule: long non-coding RNA, 302 nt
Organism: Drosophila elegans
Lineage: Eukaryota; Metazoa; Arthropoda; Insecta; Diptera; Drosophilidae
Exons: 3
Source: RefSeq, a predicted model, not a curated record